This 85-nucleotide transfer RNA is filed under the name Cyanidiaceae sp. MX-AZ01. RNAcentral's name for it is "tRNA-Leu". It matches the Rfam family "tRNA". From Rfam's summary of the family: Transfer RNA (tRNA) molecules are approximately 80 nucleotides in length. Lineage: Eukaryota; Rhodophyta; Bangiophyceae; Cyanidiales; Cyanidiaceae. The record is from RNAcentral.
ACUCUUAUGGUGAAAUUGGCAGACACGGCAGAUUCAAAAUCUGCUACUUUCAACAAGUAUGUUGGUUCAAAUCCAACUAAGAGUA